GAUGAACGCUGGCGGCGUGCCUAAUACUUGCAAGUCGAGCGAACGGACGAGAAGCUUGCUUCUCUGAUGUUAGCGGCGGACGGGUGAGUAACACGUGGAUAACCUACCUAUAAGACUGGGAUAACUUCGGGAAACCGGAGCUAAUACCGGAUGAUAUUUUGAACCGCAUGGUUCAAAAGUGAAAGACGGUCUUGCUGUCACUUAUAGAUGGAUCCGCGCUGCAUUAGCUAGUUGGUAAGGUAACGGCUUACCAAGGCAACGAUGCAUAGCCGACCUGAGAGGGUGAUCGGCCACACUGGAACUGAGACACGGUCCAGACUCCUACGGGAGGCAGCAGUAGGGAAUCUUCCGCAAUGGGCGAAAGCCUGACGGAGCAACGCCGCGUGAGUGAUGAAGGUCUUCGGAUCGUAAAACUCUGUUAUUAGGGAAGAACAUAUGUGUAAGUAACUGUGCACAUCUUGACGGUACCUAAUCAGAAAGCCACGGCUAACUACGUG
RNAcentral lists this ribosomal RNA (497 nucleotides) under uncultured bacterium. Its description in RNAcentral is "partial 16S ribosomal RNA". It matches the Rfam family "Bacterial small subunit ribosomal RNA", at positions 28 to 507 of the family's 1533-position model. The record is from RNAcentral.